AGGCGGGCCGUCCGCCGCUCCCGGCGCCCGCCGCAACCGCCGCCGACCCCAGGCCGAAGCCCGACGGCCGCCGACACCACCAAGGAGAGGCAGCACCCGCACGCCGCCACCACGCCGAGCCGGCCACCGCCAGGCCGCUGGACCACUACCACCGGCCGCCACGCGCACAACCACCACGGAGGGAACCGCCGAAAGCCACACCCCUCCUUCCCCUCGUCGAACCUGUCCCCGCCGCCUCGGCUGCCGCACGGCCGACGUCGCGCUUCCGCCCUUGAAAUGCCCGGAGACGCAAGGGCCGACCCGGACACGCCGGUGCCCGGACCACACAAGGACGGUAACGCAGGCCAGUCGAUGGCAGAAGUCGCCACCUCCACCCCGGGAGGGCGCACGGCUACCACGACAACGGACCAGGGCCGAGGAGAAGAAGUAGCACGGCUGGUACGAAGUGCCACGGCACCACUCUGUCGCAACUUGCGAAGCACAGGCCCGACCGCGUCCCACUCCCAGACAAACCGCCGCUCGAAGCCUCACGGACUCCACCUCCAACCCUAGCCCUCUUUAGAGACAACCGGACCGGCUGUAGCUGCGCCACCACGAACACCCACGGCGGUCUGGAAGGACCUCCCGCAGCCUCGAUGGGAAGGAGAGGGGAGUGGCAUGGCCCCCUUUGGGAACCGUCGUCGCAGCAGAAGCAGCGCAAGGAAGAACCUCCACAACUAACCAUGGCCACGAAGCCUCCGAGCCUCAGACCACCCUCUAGAGGCCACCCACGUCGCCGGUGCUCCGAAGAAGUAAAGAAACAGCUAGGCGGCAACAGCCGCAAACAAAGAGAACAUAAAAGAGAAAGAAAAGAA
Molecule: ribosomal RNA, 854 nt
Filed under: Triticum aestivum (bread wheat)
Lineage: Eukaryota; Viridiplantae; Streptophyta; Magnoliopsida; Poales; Poaceae
Description: partial small subunit ribosomal RNA
Source: RNAcentral